CGGCUCGGUCCGACCUUCAAGAGCCCCCCAGCUCCAGGACUGAAGCUCUGCCCGGCCCAGAAGUCUGUGUUUGCUUACGAUGACCUGCUAGGACACGAGGAUAAACAGGAACAAACUGAGAGGGGAAGAGAAUUCCGGAAGAGAGCUGCUCUGUGUUCUCUGUCUCGCUUCCUCAAGGCAGAGACCCAAAGGCAGUCAGUGAUGUUUCAGCUGACAGCCCAACGUCGUCUGGAUUCCCAUCAGGCACGCCGGAAUGGCCCAGGUACUACUUAGGCGGUAAGGAGAGUAAGAACAAUGGAGGUGGAUGAUUCGGUAAACAUGCACUGCAGCAGGAUGGCCCCAAGUGAGAAGACAAGUUGAUUCAAAAUGCUACAGGGGCCAGAGCGAGACAGUGAGAAUGAUCAAAGUGUUUCACCAGGACAAACAUUCUUUCCAAAGGCCGUCUGGAUGACUGGAGGGGGAAAAACAGAGGAAGACCAGGAGACUGGUUUCUCCAGUGGAGCUGGGGCUGCCCUAGCGAGCGGAAGACACCAUCUUGGGCCGCAGGCCUUGAACAAAUUCCCAACUCUCUUCUUCUUGUUAGUGCUGGACUGAGGACGCAAAGUUGUUUUCCCCUGGAUGGGAGAACAGUUCAACAGGAAGCCAAUUCUGAGAGGUAACUGGGACCCCAGCCCUUUGGAAGGCCACCUCGCCGGGGUUCAUCCCGGUCGGUAGACGAGCCUGCAAGGAUGAAGCCGGCAGUGACCUUGGCUCAGACUUUGAACUGAAAGUGCUCGGGCUGGAACAGGAAAUGACCAGAAACUCAGAGCAUCUCUAUUCUUCAGCCAUCACAACAGAAGACUUGAUUCUGAUGACAGACCUGGAUUUUUGGCCACACACUGUCCAAAGACAUGGCUCAUCUCAGAUGUCUCAACAAGACACAGCAUCCCGUGGAAUUGAUUUCAUUUCAAGAUAAAUGAAAGGGAAGUGCCAGUGAGAGAGGGGAAACCAAUUAAAGAUCAUUCACUUCGAAAGGCUGCAAGUGCAGGCACGGAGAGGCUGGAAAAAGGUCCGCUACCGGGCAGUCACGGUGUCCAAGUACCACAUUGGGAAAAUAGACGCCCAAGAAGCAUUUGUCAAGAGCAGCGGAUACAGUGAGACUCCUCGUAACUGGUGUCAACAUGAUGGCGAUAAAUCAAACCAGGCGGAAGCCCGCGCUGGGCCUCAAGAUAUUUCUGGUCUAUCUUCUUGAAGCAAAUCAGUUCUCCGCCCCCAGCCCUUAUCAGGGGUCACAGGAGGAGCUCCCCUGGCCGAGAAGACCACUCUCUGGCAGGCAAUUUCCUGCAGGGCAAUCUUCCUUCGGCAGUCCGGGUUGUCCGCCUCCUCCCGUCCCUCACCUACAUUCCCUUCCCUCCCGUGCUCCUGAGCUAGGUCUGCAAAUCAACACAAUGGACCUCUCCGGCUAAGGUACGGCGGUGUGGACGCUUCUUCGUGUUUGUACAUGUCACCUAGCUGACAGGAUCGGGAAACCCAGCCGACAGAACAAAGGAUGAAAUAAUCCCGAUUAACACUUUACGGGCGGUGCUGUGCGGAACGCCUUCAUUUUCUCCUCCACUGAGGCAGAUAUUUUAAUCAGGUUUUAAUGAGAAAAACCCAGGGUGAAAGACUGCAGAAAACCCCAUCGGGGAAUGUGCAUUCCACCUCCUACCCUCGUGACGCCCCCAACCUCCGAGCCCUCUUUCCCUCCCUCCCUCCUCCCCUGGCUCCCUCCCUCUCUCCCUCCCGGAGAUAUUCCCUUGGGCAUCAGAUGAAAACAAUUUUCCACCACAACCACCCGGAAACUUCGGAUUAUUAAAUCUGGAUCCGAAUGCCAAAAGCCCUGGCCAGGAUGCACGAGGGAAUGUUUGCCAUUCAUUUCUAAAAAGGUAAAAGGAGGAGGCUGCUUCCUGCGCUUUCACAUAAAGGCAACUUGGCCGCGCCGGCUGUGGAAACCUUUGUUCUCCAACCGGGACCCUGUGACCCUAUCUUCAAACCGGGGGUCUCCCCUCCACCUCGCUUUGUUUUCAUUAAGAUUUUUUUUCCAGGGCGGUUGGGGGCGCGGGGAGGAAAUCUGGAAACCACCGCAGACAUCACAAUGAGCGGUACAGAAAUACUCCUUUCCUUUUCAAUGUUUUACCUCAGUAUUAAAGGAAGACCCCUUUCCCAGAA
Ornithorhynchus anatinus (platypus) is the source of this 2187-nucleotide long non-coding RNA. RefSeq lists it as uncharacterized. The record is from RefSeq and is a predicted model, not a curated record. The transcript is spliced from 4 exons. Lineage: Eukaryota; Metazoa; Chordata; Mammalia; Monotremata; Ornithorhynchidae.